Molecule: ribosomal RNA, 252 nt
Filed under: uncultured bacterium
Lineage: Bacteria
Description: partial 16S ribosomal RNA
Rfam family: Bacterial small subunit ribosomal RNA
Source: RNAcentral
GACAGAGGUGCCGAGCGUUAGGCGGAAUCACUGGGCUUAAAGCGUGUGUAGGCGGAUCUGUAAGUACCUUGUGAAAUCCCACGGCUCAACCGUGGAACUGCUUGGUAUACUGCGGGUCUUGAGCCACCUAGGGGCAAGUGGAACAAACGGUGGAGCGGUGAAAUGCGUAGAUAUCGUUUGGAACGCCAAUGGUGAAAACAACUUGCUGGGGGUGUGCUGACGCUGAGACACGAAAGCCAGGGAGCAAACGGG